CAUAAACUAGUGAAGAAAUAUAUUAGACAUCAUGUCUGAAGCACUGUAAAUAUAUUUAAAUAUAUUUUGAAAACACUUGAUGGUCACGCGCUGUACUGGAGUCACCAUGGAAACGGGGCUCAGCUCAACCGUCAAGCAGCUGAACAGACGCUGUCUCUCGUGGUUGUUUUCACUAAUUUCAGAAAUGGUCAGUGUCUUCAGAAAAAGUCCGUUAGCAUCUCAACUGUAAUGCUAACUACAAGAGUUAUUUUGAUGUCCACACUGUAAGAGUAUUAAUCGGUU
Long non-coding RNA from Carassius gibelio (silver crucian carp), 282 nucleotides. RefSeq lists it as uncharacterized. The record is from RefSeq and is a predicted model, not a curated record. The transcript is spliced from 3 exons. NCBI's taxonomy places the organism in Eukaryota, Metazoa, Chordata, Actinopteri, Cypriniformes, Cyprinidae.